UGGUCCCUUAACAAUGAAUGAGCACGAACCCCGCCAGGCCCGGAAGGGAGCAACGGUAGUGCUUUAUUUGUGUGUUGAGUGUGGC
This 85-nucleotide signal recognition particle RNA is filed under the name zebrafish metagenome. Its description in RNAcentral is "Bacterial small signal recognition particle RNA". It matches the Rfam family "Bacterial small signal recognition particle RNA", at positions 6 to 89 of the family's 97-position model. Rfam says of the family: The signal recognition particle (SRP) is a universally conserved ribonucleoprotein involved in the co-translational targeting of proteins to membranes. The record is from RNAcentral.